This 497-nucleotide ribosomal RNA is filed under the name uncultured bacterium. RNAcentral's name for it is "partial 16S ribosomal RNA". It matches the Rfam family "Bacterial small subunit ribosomal RNA", at positions 28 to 507 of the family's 1533-position model. The record is from RNAcentral.
GAUGAACGCUGGCGGCGUGCCUAAUACAUGCAAGUCGAGCGAACAGAUGAGGAGCUUGCUCCUCUGACGUUAGCGGCGGACGGGUGAGUAACACUUGGAUAACCUACCUAUAAGACUGGGAUAACUUCGGGAAACCGGAGCUAAUACCGGAUAAUAUAUUGAACCGCAUGGUUCAAUAGUGAAAGACGGUUUUGCUGUCACUUAUAGAUGGAUCCGCGCCGCAUUAGCUAGUUGGUAAGGUAACGGCUUACCAAGGCAACGAUUCGUAGCCGACCUGAGAGGGUGAUCGGCCACACUGGAACUGAGACACGGUCCAGACUCCUACGGGAGGCCGCAGUAGGGAAUCUUCCGAAAUGGGCGAAAGCCUGACGGAGCAACGCCGCGUGAGUGAUGAAGGUCUUCGGAUCGUAAAACUCUGUUAUUAGGGAAGAACAAAUGUGUAAGUAACUAUGCACGUCUUGACGGUACCUAAUCAGAAAGCCACGGCUAACUACGUG